RNAcentral lists this ribosomal RNA (577 nucleotides) under Mortierella sp. 1 C36. RNAcentral's name for it is "eukaryotic LSU rRNA". The stretch from base 201 to 353 matches the Rfam family "5.8S ribosomal RNA". Lineage: Eukaryota; Fungi; Mortierellomycota; Mortierellomycetes; Mortierellales; Mortierellaceae. The record is from RNAcentral.
CUGUGCGACUGCGGAUGACAUUACCAAAAGAUAAUCUUUCAACUCGAAAGAUCUUUUCCUUUGUGCUGGCUUUGCACCGUAUGUAAUUUUGGGACUUAGACAUGGCAGCCUUACUGUUUCGCGGUCCCAAAAACCAUAUAUCAACCCUAUGAAAAACUUAAUGAACCACUUAACCAUGAUUUUUAUAAUCUGGUUAAAACCACUUUCAACCACCGAACCUUUGGUUCUCGCAUCGAUUAAGAACGCAACGGAAUGCGAUACGUAAUGGGGAUUGGAGAAGUCAGUGGAUCAACCAAUCCUUGAACGGCAUUGGAAUCCCUGGUAAUCCGAGGAAUAAGGCUGGUUCAGUAUCAAGAACACUCUCACUCCCUAACCUUGUGGUUAUGAAGUGGAAAUGGGAAGCGCCCAAUUUUACCAAUCCGCACUCCCAAAAAGGAGCUUUUGGCUGGUUCCCACCACCGGCAUUUGGCCUAAUAGUUUUGAACUUUGGCCAUCUUUGGCUACCUUUGCCUCCUGAAAUCCAGUCUUGAUAUACCGAAACUCAAUUCCAACUUUGGACUGAAAUCCAGGUAGGGCU